Molecule: ribosomal RNA, 305 nt
Filed under: uncultured bacterium
Lineage: Bacteria
Description: bacterial SSU rRNA
Rfam family: Bacterial small subunit ribosomal RNA
Source: RNAcentral
UUGUCCUACGGGGCACAGCAGUGGGGAAUAUUGCACAAUGGGGGAAACCCUGAUGCAGCGACGCCGCGUGAGUGAAGAAGUAUUUCGGUAUGUAAAGCUCUAUCAGCAGGGAAGAAAAUGACGGUACCUGACUAAGAAGCCCCGGCUAACUACGUGCCAGCAGCCGCGGUAAUACGUAUGGGGCAAGCGUUAUCCGGAUUUACUGGGUGUAAAGGGAGCGUAGACGACAGCGCAAGUCUGGAGUGAAAUCCCAUGGCUUAACCAUGGAACUGCUUUGGAAACUGUGCAGCUGGAGUGCAGGAGAG